RNAcentral lists this long non-coding RNA (5239 nucleotides) under Brassica napus (rape). Its description in RNAcentral is "long non-coding RNA (BNAP_LNC022304)". The record is from RNAcentral. Lineage: Eukaryota; Viridiplantae; Streptophyta; Magnoliopsida; Brassicales; Brassicaceae.
CGCUUCUUUCAAAAUUGCUAUGAACUAGGGUUUAUAGAGCGGGUUUAGCGGGCGUGUUAGCUGGCUUGCUAGGCAAGGUAGGUACACUCUGUUCAUCUCUAAAGAAAUUCUCAGGAUCCACAGUACUUUUCACCUUCACUAACCGAUCAAAAUUCUCUCCAAAAUACUUCCUACCGUAAACCUCACCUUCUCUGUAACUAUUCGGACCAUGGCUAUUAACUCCAAUAUCCAAAUCCCUGUAAUUCAAAUACGUGUGUCUAGGGUUCUUGGUCACAAAAGGAGCCAUGUAGCUAUAAAAGCUUUUCGCCUUCUCCAAGAAACUGGUCUCAGCUUCAGGCCCCGGAUCUUUCCAGUUCAUCGAGUGCUGCACCUUGUAAAGCUUGGUCCUAUGCGGGAAAGGAGUCUUCGUCGUAGCCACCUCGCUCACCUUCCCACCGUAAGGGUUAAACACAAGACCAAUCUUCCCAACCUCGAUCAUCUUCUUCAUCAAGUAAUCUAACCCUUCUUUAGUAAUCUCCUUCUCCACGAAAUCUGACUUCCUCUUCCCGUAAGACGCCGUAUCCAAGUUACGCUCGAGGAGCACCUCGGGUUUAACCAGCGUAGCGUUGUCGUGGUUGUCCCACCACAGCACGGACUGUAUCCACGUGAGCUCCGUGCAGUUCUCUUGCUUUAAACCAAGCUCGGGGAAGUCUUUGUUUAGUAGAGACAAAACCUCGCUCGACUUGCCGAGAAACAAGGCCAAGACCGAGGCGCGAACAGUCUCGACCUUGUUUCUUGUCACGGGCUGUAACAACACCCUCAUGAAGAGACCAGGGGGACGGUGGUCCGGCGGUGGCGACGUUUUCCGGCGGCGGCGCAUGUACUUCACGCGCACGCAGAGGCGAAACUUCCGGAGGCGCGUGAGGCUUCGUCCGGGCUCCGAUUGAGGCGUGGUUGGUGUCUACUGCUUCGUCUCGACGAGAGGAACACGAUGGUGGUCUUGAAUGCACGAGAUGAUCAAUGGUUAGGAAGUUAUGGGUGAUUUACUAAACAGAAACGAAACUGAGCUUAAGGAAUGCGGUUUCCGGCGGUUACCUAGGGCGUUUAUCGGUGGUGGCAAGCUGAACGUGAUCACAGCACACGGUUGCUCCGGCGACGAGCUCAGGUGAGCUUUCUCUCUCUUUCUCUCUCUCUUUCUCUCUCUCUUUCUCUCUCUCUCCCUCUCUCUUUCUCUUUCUUUCUCUUUAAAGAAGUUGGGGAUGGUGGAGAUGGUGGAAGUGGUGGAGAUGGUGGAGAUGGUGGGGAUAGUGGAGAUGGUGGGUCAUUACAAAUACAUGCUUUUGCUCACGAACUCGACUUCAAUCGUACUAUUCUCUGCAGGUUUGUGACUUCUUCCUCCUCCAGCUUGAUCGUCUAUAAUAAUCUUUGUGUUUUACAGAUGCGGAUUAAUCUAUGUUAACGAAGAAGAUGAAGAAAAGGCGUUGACGUUUGAUGGAAGUGACAUGGGAGGAAGUAUUUUACGAGUUACGGCUUACCCUUUUGACAGCAAUCGCCUUGACCAUUUCUUUGCUACUCCCGAAGCACAAGACAAAUACCGACAGCGCGUGUAAAUUGAUUUUUUUAUUUUAUUUUUUCCUUUCUUAUUUAUUAACCUGUUUGUUCUUGUCCUAAUAUGGUGUCCUGCUAUUUUAGGUUGAAUGUUACAGGAUUUGAUACUUCCCUUGCUAGGGAUGUUCUCGAGGAGAUGGCACGUGGGGUUUUCCCUGGAUCCUAUUGUUCUGUUUUGGGGGAAGUGGUUUUCGUUUAUCUCCGUGGAAAAGAUGCUAUUGAAAAGGCUCUGAAACUUAGCGGACGUUCUGCGGGAGGCUUUAAUCUUGUUGUUAAUGCUGUCCUCCCACUAAGAAAGGAUGGCGGCGGUGGCGUCUCUCUCGCACGUACGUUACUUUCUUCAUUCCUUUUUUUCUUUUUGUUUUGAGAAAACAAAGUGUAAAACCGUUCAUUCAUUUGUAUGUUUGUUUGUUUGUUUGUUUCAGGUAUGUUGGCUAUGGCUAAGAAAGAUGAAGCAGGUAGGUUGGCUGAAGCAGCUAGGUUGGCUAAGAUUAAGAGAACUAAAGCAGCUAGGUUGGCUAAGGCUGAGACAGCUAAAUCAGCUAGGUUGGCUAUGGCUGAGAAAGAUAAAGCAAUUCUAUCCGAGGGAAAUCAGAUGUCGAUCAUGACUACCGACUAGAAAUCUCUCUCUCUAAUGCCGUCUCGUGUUAUUUACUUGUCUUGCAAUGCCACCUCCUUCUUUUCUCUUUUCUGGAUGUUGAAAAUGUUAUGUUUUGUCUGGAUUUUAAAUAUGUUUUUAUGCGCGUGUGUUGGUUUUUAUGAUAAAACUCUGUAAUAACACUGACAAACUUGGUUGUCCAAUCAAAUUUUUAGUAACUUAAAAAGACUUAAGGUUAACAUAUCUACGUUCCCCAAAAUUAAAUAUUUAUCCAAGUCCUCGGCUCCGUUUGAUCAUGCCAAAGCUCUCUUAUUCUUAAAAGUUAACAUUUACCUUAUCAUACACAAGACUCUCUAUUCUUGCACUUGGUCUGUGAGAAACAAUGUAAAAUUAUGAAGAGGCUUAUUAAGUCUAUGGAACUUCAUUCUUCGAAGCAAAACGAAACAAAAAUAAAAUAGAGAUGGAGCGAGUUUCUUCCAUAGCGAGUAAAAUGCCUAACAGGGUUUGAAAAUCAUAUCUCUUACUCCCAACAGUGCGUUGCCCAAAAUGAAAAGGGAAGGCGUGGGGAUAGAACCGAAGGCAGUACGAAUCCCAGUCAGAGAUAUAUUACUGAUCAGAGUUAGAUGAUCACGAACACAUGUGAUAUGUUUGGUAUAUCAGGGUUUGGUUUCAGACACUGAGCCUUAAAUUUAAUGUACAAAGCAUGUUCUUGACAAUAAGCUAGAUUAUUAACUGUUUGUCUCAACAGUGAAGAGUCUGAAGCUAAGCUUUGAAGAAAGGUGAGUCUUGCGGUAUACCAACGCCAUAAAAAUGGUUCUUCUGUUGUGUUUUAUUCACACUGUUCUACAGGGUUCGUUUGUCCACUUUUUUUUCAAAAUAGGUCUAAAAAAGAAUUUUGGAGAAAGACCAAUGUCUUCAUUGCAAAUAAAAAAAACGUUAGUCCAAAAGCGAAAACAAACUAAACUCGGCCGGCCUCGUCAGAGAUUUAAUCGUCGACUGGUGGUGGUGAAGAUGUACGAAUCGGCAAACGUCGCAGAUCGUACGGCUUUCCGGAGAGCAGAGAAAAAUUACAAGCUUUACUACGACCAAGACUCAAAGUUCUCCAGAAAGUAAGCACCUUUUUGUUUUAAAUCUCCUCCCAUUCAUCACUGCCAUUGUUGAAUCCCUUCCUCUUCAAAUCUUCGCAGGAAGAAGCUACCUAAACCGGUUGAUUUGUCAUCGGUUCUCGAUUUCAAUUCAAUUUCACAAGAUUUCAACAGAACCGGUGUUUUACCCGACGGAAUUAGGGUUGCAGAAGCUGAUUCCCAGGUGUUCUGCAUCGAGAAUCGUCCCGGUAAAGUCAAAAUUAUUAUCUAACAGAGUUGGGUUUUUUGUAAUUUGAUUACUGGGUAUGAAGAUUUUCAAUGAAAGGUUGAAACUUAUGUGAAGGUGAAUUUUGAUUUUUGAUUUUAGGGUUUUACUUUAUCGCUAACGCGUUGAGCUUGGAGGAGCAGUGCAAAUGGAUCAAAGAGAGCUUGAUGACUUUCCCUCAGCCUCCGAAUAGAACAAACCACAAUGCUAUUUAUGGUCCAGUUACUGAUUUGUUUGAAUCAGCUAAAGCAAACAAGGUGUUGGUUCAGGAUGAUACUAACAGAUGGAAGUUCUGUGAUGGUGAAGAAGCUAAACAAAGAAGUUGCAAAUCAGUUUCAGCUUCGGUUCUGUUGAGGAAGAUUCGUUGGAGCACUCUCGGUCUACAGUUUGAUUGGUCCAAGGUCGGUUUUUUGGAACUUGUUUGAUGAAAUAGAUUAGUAUCUACUGCAACCUGAAUUGAAUUCUUUUUACAGCGCAACUAUGAUGUUUCUCUGCCUCAUAACAACAUUCCUGAUGCACUUUGUCAACUAGCUAAGACACACGCUGCCAUUGCAAUGCCUGCAGGGGAGGAGUUCCGUCCAGAGGGUGCUAUUGUAAACUAUUUUGGCUUAGGUAGAGUUAUCUUUAAAACUUGUAUUCCAAUGCAUUAGAUUAAUUUUAAAAGAAUGUUGAACAUUUGAGGAUUUAUUUGACUUCACUCUUUAGGUGAUACCCUUGGAGGCCAUCUUGAUGACAUGGAAGCUGACUGGAGUAAACCAAUAGUAAGCAUGAGGUAUACAUCUUUGCCUUGUGUUUUUUAAGCAAAACUUAAUAGCGCAAUAGAGUGACUGUGUUUCAUCUUACGCAGCUUGGGGUGUAAAGCUAUUUUCCUCUUAGGAGGAAAAUCAAAAGAGGAUCCUCCUCAUGCUAUGUAUCUCAGAAGUGGAGAUGUUGUACUGAUGGCUGGAAAAGCCAGGGAAUGCUUUCACGGUAAACCUACUUCAUUUGCAUUACCAGCUUACCUGUGUUUUUUACAAGAAAAAAAUCCUUAGUUUUCUCAUUUUCUCUCACUGUUUGGUCUGAGAUGAUAUCUGUUGAUGCUGCAGGCGUGCCCCGUAUCUUCAUUGAUGAAGAAAAUGCAGAUAUUGGCGCACUUGAAUCAGAAUUGUCCCAUGAAAAUGGAGAUUUUAUCGCAGAGUACAUCAAAACUUCGAGGAUCAACAUAAACAUCAGGCAAGUUUUCUGAGUUACCUGAAUCCACCUGAUGGUCUGCCAAAGUAUCUGUAUUAGCAUCGAGCCAGAGGUUUUUGAGAAGCAGCCUUCUUCUUCUGUUUCACUACUUUGAGUUUUCUAUGUUCUUAGGAUUCAGACAGAACUAAAGUAAGAUUCAUACACUAUUUAGCAAAUGGUGUAUUAUUAUUUACAAGUUUUGAAAAUUAAAAAAAAACAAAGUAAUCAGUUUAUAGAUAUUGUUAUUGGCUCUAGGUCUCUCUGCCUGGCGCUUCUUUCAACAUUGCUAUGAACUAGGGUUUAUAGAGCCGGUUUAGCGGGUGUGUUAGCUGGCUUGCUAGGCAAGGUAGGUAUGCUCUGUUCAUCUCUAAAGAAAUUCUCAGGAUCCACAGUACUUUUCACCUUCACCAACCGAUCAAAAUUCUCUCCAAAAUACUUCCUCCCAUAAACCUCUCCUUCUCUGUAACUAUUCGGACCAUGAGUAUUAACUCCAAU